GCGGGGGUGCCGGAGCGGUCAAACGGAGUAGCCUCAAGAGCUUCUGGCUCAGUGCCUACGCAGGUUCGAAUCCUGUCCCCCGCA
This 84-nucleotide transfer RNA is filed under the name Candidatus Woesearchaeota archaeon. Its description in RNAcentral is "tRNA-Leu". It matches the Rfam family "tRNA". From Rfam's summary of the family: Transfer RNA (tRNA) molecules are approximately 80 nucleotides in length. Their secondary structure includes four short double-helical elements and three loops (D, anti-codon, and T loops). Further hydrogen bonds mediate the characteristic L-shaped molecular structure. tRNAs have two regions of fundamental functional importance: the anti-codon, which is responsible for specific mRNA codon recognition, and the 3' end, to which the tRNAs corresponding amino acid is attached (by aminoacyl-tRNA synthetases). tRNAs cope with the degeneracy of the genetic code in two manners: having more than one tRNA (with a specific anti-codon) for a particular amino acid; and 'wobble' base-pairing, i.e. permitting non-standard base-pairing at the 3rd anti-codon position. The record is from RNAcentral. Lineage: Archaea; Nanobdellati; Candidatus Woesearchaeota.